GAUGAACGCUGGCGGCGUGCCUAAUACAUGCAAGUCGAGCGAACGGACGAGAAGCUUGCUUUUCUGAUGUUAGCGGCGGACGGGUGAGUAACACGUGGAUAACCUACCUAUAAGACUGGGAUAACUUCGGGAAACCGGAGCUAAUACCGGAUAAUAUUUUGAACCGCAUGGUUCAAAAGUGAAAGACGGUCUUGCUGUCACUUAUAGAUGGAUCCGCGCUGCAUUAGCUAGUUGGUAAGGUAACGGCUUACCAAGGCAACGAUGCAUAGCCGACCUGAGAGGGUGAUAGGCAACACUGGAACUGAGAAAAGGUCCAGACACCGACGGGAGGCAGCAGUAGGGAAUCUUAAGCAAUGGGCGAAAGCAUGACGGAGCAAAGACGCGAGAGUGAUGAAGGUAUACGGAUAGUAAAACUCUGUUAUUAGAGAAGAACAAAUGUGGAAGUAACUAUGCACGUCUUGACGGUACCUAAUCAGAAAGCAACGGAUAACUACGGG
This 497-nucleotide ribosomal RNA is filed under the name uncultured bacterium. RNAcentral describes it as "partial 16S ribosomal RNA". It matches the Rfam family "Bacterial small subunit ribosomal RNA", at positions 28 to 507 of the family's 1533-position model. The record is from RNAcentral.